RNAcentral lists this unclassified non-coding RNA (1025 nucleotides) under Hevea brasiliensis (rubber tree). Lineage: Eukaryota; Viridiplantae; Streptophyta; Magnoliopsida; Malpighiales; Euphorbiaceae. The record is from RNAcentral.
UAAGGCACAGAUAAAAUACAAAACACAAAUGCAUGUGCAUUCAUACAGAAAAGAACUUGGGGAUACUUAUAAAUAAAGAUGAGGCAGUACUACGUAACAGUCCUCUGAAAUGGAAUAGACAUAUUUCCAUCAUAAGAUUUUUCACAGCACCAAGAAAUGCAUUGGGUGACUUCAAGACAUGCAUUUGUUACACAACAGAUCUUAGAGAAAUGCACUUCGAAUUGUCUUAGCAACAUCCAUACACCUGCAACAAUCUGUAAUUAUCACAUAUCCCCAGCUGGAGUGUUACAUUUUGGUAAUUAGGGCCAAAAGAAUCAUAUCUAUUUCUUUCAUAAUUGACAGAAACUUUCUUCAUAAUGCCUCAUCAUAUCCGAAGGUAGGAAUUUACGUAUAUAAUCUGCUCAGUCUUUUCUCUUCAGAUGGAAGUUCUAAAGCAAACUGAAAAAGGAUUCUGUACCUAUGAAAAUCAAGGAGAAGAACAAUUUGACAAGGGGAAAAAUUCCUAUGAACUAUACUAUAACAUAUUCUCAACGAAAAAGAAACAGUCACUGCAAACAUUAAUGCUCUUACAAAUGGGAGCUAUCAAGUUACCUGUAAGGUAUGUGUUGGUGAGUUGAAGUGUCUCGGUACUUCUUGGCCAGACCAAAGUCUAUUAUGUAGACCUGAUUUGCACGCCUUCCCAAGCCCAUAAGAAAAUUGUCUGGUUUAAUAUCUCGAUGCAAGAAUGAUUUAGAAUGAACAAACUCAAUGCGAUUUAUCAUUUGAUCUGCAAGCAUCAGAACUGUCUUCAGGGAAAGUUUCCUACUGCAAAAAUUAAAUAAAUCUUCUAGACUGGGUCCAAGCAAAUCCAUGACUAGAACAUUGUAAUCUCCUUCAACACCGUACCACCUCACAUUUGGUAUUCCAGUUCCUCCCUGCAAAAUUCUAUACAACUUUGACUCAUAUAGCAACUGAGGAUGCUUUGUUUUGACAUUUUCCAGCUUAAUUGCUACCUCCUCAUUAGUCUGUAUAUUAGUACCGAGAUA